UUAGCUCUCCACGGAGCCAACAUCCCUUACGGUUUUGACUAGCGGUCUGAAAGCGAAGUUACCUCGCCCGGAAAAUAAAUCACGUCAAGAGAAGCAAUAAAAAGCCCACGCUCAAUUUGCUUCACCUCUUUCUCCCCAAAGAGCUUCUCGUCUACCUACUUCGGGGGGACCACAACCUCGCACGUGCCUCUGCAGGGCGCCAGCAACCCAGCCUCUCCGCACGCAUCACCUGAGCGCAAGUCAACGAGCCGAACACCGCCGUGCCAGGAAAAACGAGAUUUAUCACAACGCCUAACCAGAUGCUGACACAUCUGGGUCACGACCGCAUCACGCACGGGGAAGGUUUACAGAAAGUGCACAGUUCCCGAAGUCGUACCGAAUUUCACAAAGGGAACUGCUGAAACAUAAAGGGUUCGUGGCGAGUAACAGCCCGGCGGGCGCACACAUAUGGUUUUCCUUUCUGCCGCCUGGCGCAGACGCACGGCACGGCGCACAAACCCAGACCUCGGCUGCGGCGACAGCCCGGGGAAGCGGGGCCGAACCGGGGACUGCUGGAGGAGGCUCGGGAGCCACAGAGCUGCCCCCAUGCACGGGGGCUUCCUCCUGCGGGCGGUGACCGGGGACCUUCGGCUCUCUUGCAAAAAAUGGGUGGCGGCAGAUGAAAGGCGCGCGUGCAAUCGCGGAUUUCUGCGCUCCGUUACAGAUGUGCAGAGCCGGAGUAACUCCAGGACAUGAGCCAGCAUUUGGGUAAGCUUCGAAUGCACUUGCACAGCUACCUCCUAACGAGAGGAGCUGCCUGAGCUCCAGGCUGCAGGAGCCAGAUGCAGGCAAAGCUGCCCUGGCCAUCGCAAGGGUUAGGGCCUGAACGAGCUCUGUUCAUGGAGAGCAGAGCUUCUAGUAACUCGGAUGCAGCGCUUCCAAAGGGUAUUCUCAUUGUAAGUCUAAUAAGCCCCUUUGCAUUUUAAAAGAAUCCCCUUUGCAAGCUUCAAACGCGGAAAUAAUCAAAGCAUGCAUAAAAAAAAAAAAAAAAAGUUAUUUUGCACUUGGCAGCGCUGAGCUUGGACCCAUCCCCGUCAGGAGCGGGACCAGAGGAGCCUGGCAGCCGCAGAAAGGGCUGAGGCUGGUUCUCCAGGAACAAAAGCAGCUCACACAGCCCAGGUUCGCCACGUGAGAGCCUAAUUAGAGACUGAAGCCCACACAGCAAACAGACAGACUACAGAGGAAAUUGGAGUCUAAUUUACAUGGAGAACUAUUACUUACUGCAGCCAAUUAGUGUCAAGCUGACUGACAGACUACCCAAAACAGGCUUUCCCCGCCCUGCCUUGUACUGCAAGCCUGAGCUUUCCUUGCCACUUUAUUUUCAGGAGGUGAGGGGCAGCACCUUGCCAUCAGACACGAGCAUCCCCCCAGCAAACAGCGUUGGAGCUGCCUGGGAGCCACCCAGCACAAGCCUCAGCUGAGCCAGCAGCAGAGAACAGAGCAGCAUGCUCUCUUUCCUGGUCUUAAAUCCUUAAAUCACAUCCCAAGGGUCCCGACAAGAAAUUCGUCAUUUUGGGGCAGUGUUUCCCUUUUCGUAUCCUGCCUGCCUGCAUCUGGAGCUUUCAGUCCCUGCUGUGCAAUCACGCAGGGGACCCGGAGGAGGUAAAAAGACACCCUGUCUCCAGCAACGGGACUUCUUCCAGCUGCUUGCACGGGAGCAGGCGCAUAUCCUCAGCUGAUACGCUGCCCUGGAAGAGGAGGACUUCAUGUUUACCAAUGUACAAACUGCUUGCUCGUACUACAGAAAAGCUGCCCUUCCUCUGCACUGAACUAGUCCAAAAACUGGUAAACAGACUUAAAAAAAUAAACUGAAGUAUACACAUAGAA
This is a long non-coding RNA of Cygnus olor (mute swan), 1866 nucleotides long. RefSeq lists it as uncharacterized. Lineage: Eukaryota; Metazoa; Chordata; Aves; Anseriformes; Anatidae. The transcript has 2 exons. The record is from RefSeq and is a predicted model, not a curated record.